Hydnomerulius pinastri MD-312 is the source of this 125-nucleotide transfer RNA. It matches the Rfam family "tRNA". From Rfam's summary of the family: Transfer RNA (tRNA) molecules are approximately 80 nucleotides in length. Their secondary structure includes four short double-helical elements and three loops (D, anti-codon, and T loops). Lineage: Eukaryota; Fungi; Basidiomycota; Agaricomycetes; Boletales. The record is from Rfam.
GGCCGGCUAGCUCAGUUGGUUAGAGCGUCGUGCUAAUACUUGACCUGGGCGGUUGCUUGGCAACACGUGACUGCCUUGGGCCACGUCCUACGCGAAGGUCCUGGGUUCGACCCCCAUGCUGGCCA